UAGUAAAAGUGUCAUGGAUUAAUAAUUUUUUUUAUUUCUGGAAUUCCUGUGAAACAUGGCCCGCAAGAGAAGCAAAACUCGCACGAACCGAGAGAAAGGCAGCCAUAUAAGCUUGAAAAAGUCAAAAUCCGAUCAUGGCAGAAAAUCCAGGUCGAAAUUGGGUAAGAAAAGGGCCAAAUCGGACGCCUCGGUACGUUCCUCCAUAAUAUGGUCCUUAGCCAAAAGGGGGAAAAACAAGAAAAAGAAUGAGAGCGAAACGACCACCGUUAGCCAAACCAGCGAGAUGACGACCCAAUCGGAAUUAUCUGUGCAACCAUCCAUGAAACGUAAUUACCAUUUAACAAGUGAAUUUUGUCCGAAAACAUCGGCGGAUUGCCUUCAACCCGUGGCACCCGUACUAUCUAAAGAGGAAAUAAUUUACAUCCUCGUAGGAUUCAAACUAACUGUCUUACUAAUCACGAUGCUCGGAGGGGCCAUUUUAGCUAUCAUGAUCAAUGCUACCAUGUAAGAGAUAAAAUCUUUACUUUUUAAUGGGACACCCAAUAUAAUAUACCUCAAAUAUUUGAUAAAAUUUUUCAGAAAAAUCACUGUUUUUCGUCCAUACGUACCAAUCUGUUAAAGUUGUUUUUAUACUAAAUAUUUAUACAGUGCAUCCCAAAA
This is a long non-coding RNA of Anthonomus grandis grandis, 660 nucleotides long. RefSeq lists it as uncharacterized. The transcript has 2 exons. NCBI's taxonomy places the organism in Eukaryota, Metazoa, Arthropoda, Insecta, Coleoptera, Curculionidae. The record is from RefSeq and is a predicted model, not a curated record.